Molecule: ribosomal RNA, 407 nt
Filed under: uncultured bacterium
Lineage: Bacteria
Description: bacterial SSU rRNA
Rfam family: Bacterial small subunit ribosomal RNA
Source: RNAcentral
AUUGAACGCUGGCGGCAUGCCUUACACAUGCAAGUCGAACGGCAGCACGGGAGCUUGCUCCUGGUGGCGAGUGGCGAACGGGUGAGUAAUACAUCGGAACGUACCCUGAAGUGGGGGAUAACGUAGCGAAAGUUACGCUAAUACCGCAUAUUCUGUGAGCAGGAAAGCGGGGGGACCGCAAGGCCUCGCGCGAUUGGAUGAGCCGACGUCGGAUUAGCUAGUUGGCGGGUAAAGGCCCACCAAGGCGACGAUCCGUAGCUGGUCUGAGAGGAUGAUCAGCCACACUGGAACUGAGACACGGUCCAGACUCCUACGGGAGGCAGCAGUGGGGAAUAUUGGACAAUGGGCGCAAGCCUGAUCCAGCAAUGCCGCGUGUGUGAAGAAGGGCCUUCGGGUCGUAGUAAGAC